Molecule: RNA transcript, 3921 nt
Organism: Dreissena polymorpha
Lineage: Eukaryota; Metazoa; Mollusca; Bivalvia; Myida; Dreissenidae
Exons: 5
Source: RefSeq, a predicted model, not a curated record
UCGAUGAUUGACAUACCACAAUACUAUCGCCGAAUAUCUUUAUUUAAUAUCUUUCUGAUCAAAACAGACUUCAAGUGCACAAAGUUUACGAGACGGCGUUUAUGAAGAUUUCUGCAACUGACCGCAAACUGACCUUGAUACCUUGCGGAUUGGAAUGCAAUGCAUUAAAGUUAGGUAACAAUUCUGCUGCUGAAACGACGGCUUGUUUACGCCAACUGUACACGACCAAGGCAACAGCUGUGCCUAAAAUAUUGAUAUAUCGACAAAGCGACUAAACGAACUAUUUACUCCAUCAGACAAAAAUAGCAUAGAUUCCAAUUUUUUCCUUCAAUGAAAAGAUCGCAACCCCUUCUGCGAACUCCGGUGAUGAACUGUAUAUAAACUCUGACUUUCACAAACUGGCCGCGAAUUGACCCGAAACCUCGCGGGUUGAAAUGCAAUGCAAGUAUGUUUCCAAUGUUCUGGUGUUACACUCAAAUCAGCCAAUGGAAUAAAUGAAGUGUAUUCAUUCGUACCUAGCCGCGGGAAAUUUUAUUUGAUUAUUAUUGGACACUUACAAAGGUCAAGUCAGGGUGAAAAGCUGGCUUAAUACAGCUUACGCCGAAAAAAAGCACACCUGAGAGAUUCUAAUUAAACGUUCCUGAAAUAAAGUAAACAAUAAGGUUGAUGUGUAUUGAUUGAUGUUUCUUCACAAAUGUUACUUAAAUUAGUCCUUCAACAAUUGUUAUAACACAAAAGACGGACUUCAGACGUCAAUCUGAAUACAAAAAGAUUACGUCACUAUAUCGCUGACGUUACGCCGUUGUAAUUGACGUCAAUGACGUCGAGCGUCAUGGUAACAGGGUUGAACGUGUUUUGUCAAGUUGUGCCGGUAUCAGAUGGAUAAGUAUUAUUUAUUUAUUCAUUUUAUAUUUUAUUGUAAGCUUAACCACUUAUCAUAGCAUAUAUUUGCCUGGAAUGAAAUUAUCAUAUCAUUGUAAUAUGUGCCAAUUAUGACGUCCUAAAUGUACAUUUGUCGAGAGAGGAAUCGGCCACUGGUAGAAGAAGGUUGUUUAUACAACCAUACUCGCAUUGUUUUUGUCAUAUUUACACUUCAUUUGAAAUAUAUGAUUUAUUUAUUCAAUCUAAAAACAAGUCCAUUUAAAGUCCGGUUCCGUUGCCUAGGUAAUGCCGAAAUCGAGCCAGACGCUUAAGAAAGGCGUAGUGACGGAGGAUGAAGUGCGACCGACGUCGUCGGGACAUCGGUCGGGAUCUCAGUGCUCUUUGCCGACAGAUCGGGUCCACAGUGCGCGUUCCGUACCCCGGCCCGCUGCAGCAUCGUGACCGUCUACAACUUGGAGCAGAGGCUGGUGGGAGUGGGUCGGGACGUGCCGGACCGGGACGCUGUGUAUACCCUUGGGCGCGAGUCUGCGCAACUCUUCAGACAUCAAACGCUACCGAAGGGUUACACCAACAUCCUCGCAUUCGAUCCGGACUCGAAAUCAUAUCAUGUAACCGUACAACGAAGUGUGCCCGACUAAAAAUUUGAGAAGGACGUCAAUUUGACGUCAUGAAUUUAUUAUUUCAACGAAAUUCGAAAGUUAACCUUUGUUCAAAUGUAAAAAAAGGACUAAUAUUCAUACAAUAACAAAGAAAAUAAUAAUAAUGAAAUGACCUAUACUGAAAACAAAUCUAGUGUUGACAUAAUUUUAUAAACACAUGUUAUAGAAAAUACGUCAAUUGCGGGAGGAAAGGGGAGGGCAAAUAAAGACUAUUAUUCUCGGAAAGCUGAUCUUUAUGAUAAUGCAUAAAGAGUGAUUCUAGAUAAGCCUGUGCAGUCCGCACCAGCUAAUCAGGGACGAAACUUUCCGAUUUAUUGGAUUUUUUCGUUAAAAGGAAUUCUCUUCUGAACGAAAAUUCAAUUUCUGCGGAGUGUCAUCCCUGUAAGCGUUUGCGGACUGCACAGGCCAAUCUGAAAUGACAUUUUACGCACAUGAAUUAAUCCCAGUACGAGGCCUGAACAAUCUUAUCUUAAUAAUGCACAAUUUCUAUUCUCAAAGUGGUGUGCACUGGGCGGGACUGGUUCCUCCACGGAAGUUUAUUAUGUGAACAGCCGGCCCACUUCCGGCCGAUGUCGGCCCUUCGCCGCCGGACCAGACAGAUCGUCCAUCUCUUUAGAGCCGGUCAGUCCUUUCCAGUAUCAGAAGUUACUCGCUCUUGGUUUCCGGCCCAGUACCCUUUUGCUGGACCCGGACUGCGUGUAUGACGCAACCAGCCACCGCGGUUGUAGUACGCAUGCGCCGCGAUCCCGGAAGGAGAGCCCGCAGAAACCGGAUGCAACAAGCGGGACCGCGGCGCGGAGCGCUGUUGAUCCACAAAUUGACGCGGCAACGCCGGAUGAUCUAGCUUGCCCGGAGGCCGAUGUCAUGCGCAGUGACAAUAUCGACCGGAUCGCCCCAAGUCUGCACAUGCGCAGUGACACAUCACCCAGUCGUCCGAAUGCCGCAGUUUUCAGUUUCCGGAACAACGAAAACGUGUCUCACUCGAAGGUGCAGCACCUUAUACAGACUCAACGUUCCAGUGCAAAGUAUCCAGUUCAAUGCCCUCGAUAUCCGGUCAUCGCGACCAGUUGUCAAAUCCUGCUGGGUCGUCGAAUUUUGUACUACAGCGGAUGUUGAAAAAUCUAUACAGUUGGGACUUAAGUGGGUACUGACCUGUUGGUGUUUUAUCCGCACGAUGACGCCAUUAGACGCGAAACUGCGACCUAUAGAAACUACAUGGAGGUUGUUAACGCCCACGCAGUGAUCGCAGCGUCUGCUGAUAACGCAGUGCGCGGGAAACUUUAACACGAAGUUUACAACGGUCGAUGUCACUCGCAACCUUAAAGCUACCAUGAAGAUAUGAGCUAAUUGGAAUUGACUUUUUAUCCCGCGCCAUAGGCGGAGGGAUAUUGUUUUGGCGUUGUCCGUAUGUCUUUCCGUCCGUCCUUUCGUCCGUCCGGCACUUUUGUGUCCGAAGCCCUAUCUUGGAAGUGCUUUGGCAGAUUUCGAUGAAACUUGGUAUGAGUAUAUAUAUGGAUAAGAGGAUGAUGCACGCCUAAUGGCAUUGUACACCAUCUGUUAAUAACAGAGUUAUGGCCCUUUGUAUCUUGGAAAAAUGCUUUUUUGUGUCCGGAGCCAUAUCUUGGAAGUGCUUUGGCGGAUUUCAAUUAAACUUGGUAUGAGUAUAUAUAUGGAUAAGAGGAUGAUGCAUGCCUAAUGGCAUUGUACACCAUCUGUUAAUAACAGAGUUAUGGCUCAUUGUAUCUUGGAAAAAUGAGUAUAUAUAUGGAUAAGAGGAUGAUGCACACCAAAUGGCAUUGUACACCAUUGGGUAAUAAAUGAGUUAUGGCCCUUUGUAUCUUGAAAAAAUGCUUUUUUGAGUGUCAAAUAUAACACUUUUGGGUCCAGAAGCAUAUUGGCGGGGGAUAUCAAUUCAACGUAUUUGCUUGUUGAAACUAUGUCAUCAUGUUAAUUUGCGUCCUUUGGUAUAUGUACCAUAGCAUGUACCAAUAAUGACUCGAUUUUUCAGGUUAAGAUUCAAGAGGGAUAAUUUCAUUACCGCCAUUUUAAUUCAACCAUCCACAUACAGGCACAACUAAGCUUCCCUUCUGUAGUUUCAGUUUUUGUUUGUUUUAAAUACUCAUAAAUAUAAUAUAUGUAUUGAUAAUAAUAACGUAUAACAUAUUGAAUCAUUUCCCACUUCAAACACACAAUUAUGUUAUGUAUACAUUCAACAGACUUAGAACAACUAUAAAUCAGCUUUGUUGUAAAGACAUUUUAGUUUAGGGCCCUCUCUUAUCAAAUAACUUCAGACACAUUGUGUGGACAGACCUACCAACAGACAGACAGACACGAUGAUGGACAGAGGGUUAGCCUACAGCCACCUAUAUCGGAAUACAUC